Sciurus carolinensis (gray squirrel) is the source of this 134-nucleotide small nuclear RNA. RefSeq annotates it as U4 spliceosomal RNA. The record is from RefSeq and is a predicted model, not a curated record. Lineage: Eukaryota; Metazoa; Chordata; Mammalia; Rodentia; Sciuridae. The transcript has a single exon.
AGCUUUGCGCAGUGGCAGUAUCAUAGCCAAUGUGGUUUAUCCGAGGUGCAAUUAUUGCUAAUUGAAAAAAAAAAUUCAACUUGACAAAAAUGAAACAAGUAAAUUUGUUAAAUUGGUGUUAUAAUUGUACAGUG